Small nucleolar RNA from Lutra lutra (Eurasian river otter), 129 nucleotides. Lineage: Eukaryota; Metazoa; Chordata; Mammalia; Carnivora; Mustelidae. The record is from RefSeq and is a predicted model, not a curated record.
GCGCUGCCUUGGAGUCCCAGCCACCCCUGCGCCUGGGUCAGGGGUCAGGAUGUGACGCCAUAGUAUGCGCUUGCGCAUUACUGAACUCCACCCCCUCCGCCAUUUUGAAUUUAAAUGCCAGUGACCCGG